This 558-nucleotide long non-coding RNA is filed under the name Gossypium raimondii (Peruvian cotton). RNAcentral describes it as "long non-coding RNA (GRAI_LNC004702)". Lineage: Eukaryota; Viridiplantae; Streptophyta; Magnoliopsida; Malvales; Malvaceae. The record is from RNAcentral.
CAAAUACAAAAAAAUAAUAAAAUAAAAUAAGAAAAACACAAGAACAGGAAAAUAGAAGCACUGGAGUCAACCUUUUUCUUAAAGCUUUUUGAUCUGCUUUUCAUUAACCAGUUGUAAAAGAAGAAGCCAAAUACAAAAAUGGUGUUUGGCUUUUAUAGCCGAUCUGUUUCUAUUUUUUCCUAUUAUUUUUGCUGCUUGCAUGUUCUCUUCUAUUUUGCAGGGUUGCUGGAGCAGGUGGGCAGAGGGUAGGUGCGGCACUGGACGUGACGGUGGCGUAGAAGUCCGAGGGUCAGAAGACCCUAAGUACGACGCCUAGGGUUCUUUUGUUUUCUGCUAGGAUUUUUUCUUGUUUUGGGUUUCGGGCUGAGGUAUUGGGUAGUUGGUCUUUGUUGUAAUGGGUUGUUUGGGUUGGUUAUUGGGUAGGUUUUUGAGUGUUUUAUUUGUAAUAGGCCCCGGGCAAAAUGGGCUUGUACAGGCAUCAUUUAUCAAGUUCAAAAUGUACUUUUUUGCACUUCGAAAAAUCUAGAUGGCGUUAGCCGUCAAGUAGUAAGUAUGGAA